RNAcentral lists this ribosomal RNA (468 nucleotides) under uncultured bacterium. RNAcentral's name for it is "partial 16S ribosomal RNA". It matches the Rfam family "Bacterial small subunit ribosomal RNA", at positions 28 to 507 of the family's 1533-position model. The record is from RNAcentral.
GACGAACGCUGGCGGCGUGCCUAACACAUGCAAGUCGAACGGACAGGCCAUGCUCUUGCGGCGUGCACGAUUGGCGAACGCGUGUGUAACACGCGAGUAACCUCUCCCUGUCUUUGGGAUAACUCCAGGAAACAGCGGCGAAUAUCGCAUAGGAGCUCUUGCAGCACGGUGGUGGAUGGAAAGUUUCGGUGGUUGGGGCUGGACUCGCGGCUUAUCAGCUUGAUGGUGGGGUAGUGGCUUACCAAGGCUUCGACGGGUAGCCGGCCUGAGCGGGUGACAGGCCACAUUGGGACUGAGAUACGGACCAGACGGCAACGGGAGGCAGCAGUGGGGAAUUUUGCGCAAUGGGGGGGAGCCUGAUGCAGCAGCGCCGCGUGCGGGAUGACGGCCUUCGGGUUGUAAACCGCUUUCGACUGUGACGUGGCGUGAGUGACGGUAAUGGGUAAGGAAGCACCGGCUAACUACGUG